AUCUAUUGAAUCCAUUCUCGAAUAAGGCUGUGGGAAAAAGUCCAGGGUUUGAAUAGUUUACGAAUGCACACAGACUUGACAGAAAACACACUGCUCUACUUUCUCUUGUACACUAAGGACCAGAUAAAGAGUUGGAGAGAAGAAGGUUCCUAUUUGAAAAACCUAGAAAAAAAAUAAGUAACUAGAGAAGGUUGGAGACCCCUGGUAUACAGGAAGUAUGCAGCUCAGACGUGUGUGUGGUUGGAGACCCCUGGUAUACAGGAAGUAUGCAGCUCAGACGUGUGUGUGGUUGGAGACCCCUGGUAUACAGGAAGUAUUCAGCUCAGACGUGUGUGUGUGUGGUUGGUACCCCUGGUAUACAGGAAGUAUGCAGCUCAGACGCGUGUGUGUGGUUGGAGACCCCUGGUAUACAGGAAGUAUGCAGCUCAGACGUGUGUGUGUGGUUG
Oncorhynchus tshawytscha (Chinook salmon) is the source of this 446-nucleotide long non-coding RNA. NCBI's taxonomy places the organism in Eukaryota, Metazoa, Chordata, Actinopteri, Salmoniformes, Salmonidae. The record is from Ensembl.